AUGGCUGUGGAUAUACUCUAGAAAAGGAGUGAAACUUGGAAACACUAAAAAACUGAAGGGUGAAAGCUGAAUGAGAAUGCCUGAAACCAAACCGUUAACAAGGAAUGAUAGUGAAGUUAAGGAAUUAGCACAUUCUAGCCCCCAGGAUAACCAGAAUGAUCAGAUGUCUUUCUUUAUAGUACUGUUGCCCAGAAAUGGUUGAAUACCAGAAGAAAGGAAAGUCCCUGGAUUCAGAACCCAGUGUCCCAUCAGCAGCAAAGCCGCCAUCCCCUGAGAAAACAGCUCCUGUUGCUUCCACACCCUCUUCUACGCCUAUUCCUGCUCUGUCACCACCUACCAAAGUACCAGAGCCAAAUGAGAACGUGGGUGAUGCCGUCCAGACCAAACUCAUUAUGCUUGUAGAUGACUUCUACUAUGGACGGGAUGGUGGCAAAGUAGCCCAGCUCACAAAUUUCCCUAAGGUCGCCACAUCUUUCCGAUGCCCACAUUGUACCAAAAGGCUAAAAAACAAUAUUCGAUUCAUGAACCAUAUGAAACACCACGUAGAACUCGAUCAGCAGAACGGUGAGG
Molecule: small RNA, 570 nt
Filed under: Pongo abelii (Sumatran orangutan)
Lineage: Eukaryota; Metazoa; Chordata; Mammalia; Primates; Hominidae
Description: retained intron
Source: RNAcentral